Molecule: ribosomal RNA, 484 nt
Filed under: uncultured bacterium
Lineage: Bacteria
Description: partial 16S ribosomal RNA
Rfam family: Bacterial small subunit ribosomal RNA
Source: RNAcentral
AGUGAACGCUGGCGGCAGGCCUAACACAUGCAAGUCGAGCGGAUGAAGGGAGCUUGCUCCUGGAUUCAGCGGCGGACGGGUGAGUAAUGCCUAGGAAUCUGCCUGGUAGUGGGGGAUAACGUCCGGAAACGGGCGCUAAUACCGCAUACGUCCUGAGGGAGAAAGGGGGGGAUCUUCGGACCUCACGCUAUCAGAUGAGCCUAGGUCGGAUUAGCUAGUUGGUGGGGUAAAGGCCUACCAGGGCGACGAUCCGUAACUGGGCUGAGAGGAUGAUCAGUCACACUGGAACUGAGACACAGUCCAGACUCCUACGGGAGGCAGCGGUGGGGAAUAUUGGACAAUGGGCGAAAGCCUGAUACAGCCCUGCCGCGUGUGUGAAGAAGGUCUUAGGAUUGUAAAGCGCUUUAAGUUGGGAGGAAGGGAAGUACGUUAAUACCUUGCUGUUUUGACGUUACCAACAGAAUAAGCACCGGCUAAAUUCGUG